RNAcentral lists this ribosomal RNA (497 nucleotides) under uncultured bacterium. RNAcentral's name for it is "partial 16S ribosomal RNA". It matches the Rfam family "Bacterial small subunit ribosomal RNA", at positions 28 to 507 of the family's 1533-position model. The record is from RNAcentral.
GAUGAACGCUGGCGGCGUGCCUAAUACAUGCAAGUAGAACGCUGAAGGAAGGAGCUUGCUCUUUCCGGAUGAGUUGCGAACGGGUGAGUAACGCGUAGGUAACCUGCCUGGUAGCGGGGGAUAACUAUUGGAAACGAUAGCUAAUACCGCAUAACAGUAGAUGUUGCAUGAUAUCUACUUAAAAGGUGCAAUUGCACCACUACCAGAUGGACCUGCGUUGUAUUAGCUAGUUGGUGAGGUAACGGCUCACCAAGGCGACGAUACAUAGCCGACCUGAGAGGGUGAGCGGCCACACUGGGACUGAGACACGGCCCAGACUCCUACGGGAGGCAGCAGUAGGGAAUCUUCGGCAAUAGACGGAAGUCUGACCGAGCAACGCCGCGUGAGUGAAGAAGGUUUUCGGAUCGUAAAGCUCUGUUGUAAGAGAAGAACGAGUGUGAGAGUGGAAAGUUCACACUGUGACGGUAUCUUACCAGAAAGGGACGGCUAACUACGUG